GUACUAUGCUCUAAACCGUUCUGGUGACAAAUACACUUUGUUUCCCUGUUUCCAAUCGUCCACAUGGCUGGGAGAACCUAUUCAAAUACAGAGAGCUGUGAAAGCCUGUCUGCAGAUGAAGAGGUCCCAAUGAAGAGCAGUGGUUCUCAGUCCUGGUCCUGGGGACUCAAAUGAGGGCACAUUCUUGUUUUUGCAUUAGUACUACACAGCUGAUUCAAAUGAUCAACUCAUCAUCAAGCUUCAAGGGAUACCUUGCAACUGGCGAUUCCUUCAAAACGAUUGCCUACAGUUACCGUGUAGGGCACUGCAAGGUUGGGUGACCAGGUCCAUCUGGGAUUGCCUCCUGGGGGAAUUCAGGCAUGUGAAGGCUACCUGUGUCCUGCAUAACUUCAUGAGAAUGGACACGAGGACCAGGAGCGGAUCUGAAGCUUGCUGCCAUGUGCCAGAGGAGAGGUCUGCUGCUCUGCAGGAUGUUUCAAGGACGGGGGCCAACAACGCAGCACGGGAGGCAAUCCGUGUGCAGGAGAUCUUCACUUCCUACUUUUUCGAAGAGGUUGCUGUUCCCUGGCAACACCAUAGACAACCAAAGGCUCUUUUAAGAGCCAUCCACAUUGCAAUAAGAGUAUUCUUCCAUUUACUUACCUACAUACAUUUACA
This is a long non-coding RNA of Coregonus clupeaformis (lake whitefish), 657 nucleotides long. RefSeq lists it as uncharacterized. Lineage: Eukaryota; Metazoa; Chordata; Actinopteri; Salmoniformes; Salmonidae. The record is from RefSeq and is a predicted model, not a curated record. The transcript is spliced from 3 exons.